This 433-nucleotide ribosomal RNA is filed under the name uncultured bacterium. Its description in RNAcentral is "partial 16S ribosomal RNA". It matches the Rfam family "Bacterial small subunit ribosomal RNA", at positions 29 to 507 of the family's 1533-position model. The record is from RNAcentral.
AACGAACGCUGGCGGCAGGCCUAACACAUGCAAGUCGAGCGGACCCUUCGGGGUUAGCGGCGGACGGGUGAGUAACGCGUGGGAACGUGCCCUUUGCUUCGGAAUAGCCCUGGGAAACUGGGAGUAAUACCGGAUACGCCCUUUUUGGGAAAGAUUUAUCGGCGAAGGAUCGGCCCGCGUUGGAUUAGGUAGUUGGUGGGGUAAUGGCCUACCAAGCCGACGAUCCAUAGCUGGUUUGAGAGGAUGAUCAGCCACACUGGGACUGAGACACGGCCCAGACUCCUACGGGAGGCAGCAGUGGGGAAUCUUAGACAAUGGGGGAAACCCUGAUCUAGCCAUGCCGCGUGAGCGAUGAAGGCCUUAGGGUUGUAAAGCUCUUUCACCGGGGAAGAUAAUGACGGUACCCGGAGAAGAAGCCCCGGCUAACUCCGUG